CAUGCUCCAGCCGAUUCCCCUUACUGGAAGUGACCAGAGUAGGGGAUUUUUCACAGGUAGGGAAAUUUGGUGUCACAAGCGUCCAUAGCAAGGCUCUCUGCGUUCCGCAGCCAUGUGGUUGGCGGACGCCAUGUUGUGGUGGGCUACGUUUCCCACCAUCACUGCUGUCAGCUGACAUUGGUAUAAAACUAAGCCGAUAUAUAAAGAAAUCUGAGUCUUAGGUUAGAUUAGUGUGGAUACGAAAAGGCCGCAGCUUCCAAUAUAAACAUGGGGAUCUCACGUUCACUACUUAAGUAACGCUUCGUUAGGUAUAGGUGCCAGUAAACGGAUGAAAGGUCUUUUGAAAUUGGAACAAGGAUCUUGUUAGUAAAGAGACACUCUACCCUCUAGGACCACUACAACUUACAGUAGUGGUUCUGGUGCAAAGAGACUGUCCCUAAAUUCUCAACUAUACAAACACUAUUUUUCUUUGAGAAGAGGUAGUGUUUAAAGUGUGCUCCAUAGCCACCCCUAGUGACAGUUACUCAGACAGCCAGGAGAGGUCCUUCCAUUCUAUCCAUGAAGAUGACAAACACUCUCCAUAGCGAUGCAUUGAGCAUUGUCAGAGCACAGCGAAUGCUGCGCAUGUUAUAUUAAAAUGGCUGAGAUUGUCUAUUAUGAUGAUCUCAGCAUGGGAGGAGCGGCAACCGCUGCAAGAUCUGUACAAUGAGGGACUAAAGGUAUGUAAACGGUAUGGUGGGCAUAAUUUUUACUUGAAAUACACUUUGUUAGGAGUACAUAUACAAUCAUGACACCAUAACCACUACUAUUGACUACUUACAUGUUGAGGGCAGAGGACACUCCUGGCACAUCAUUACAGUGUGGAUAGUGGUUAUGGUACUUGGAAUGUGACUUUAACUGGGUCCUCACUAAUAUGUGAAUUGUUGAAAUUUAAAACCCAAAUAUCAAAAUUUAGGAAAAGAAUAGCAGACCUGAAAAAAAUCUCUAACUCAACAGCUUGGCUAUUUUUGCUUGUAUUUUCCAUUUGGUUUUGUGAUUAAUUCGCUAUUUAGACAUAUCAUAGCAGGUCUGGCUUCAUAUUUACCUACCUUCUUUAUCCACAGUGAAACAAACAUUUGUGGAUACUUUCAAAUAGAUCAACUAACCUAUACUUUUUGCACAUUUUUAGUGAAGGGAUCAUCAUUGGAAUUUAGAGAAUAUGUAGUUCUGGUCUGCUUUGGGUUUUUUCCCUCUUUUUUUUAGGUUUUCCAUUUUGAAACCUUGCCCCGCUUCCUGGUAAUGGGCCAAAUGGUUUCCCACUUCUCUGAGUCACCCAGCUGUGAAAGCUUGGUGCCUUUUUCAUUGCCAUUCGUUGGCAGAGAGUGCUAGUUGACAACUUUCAUGCAAUUAAUGCAAUUCCACGUCCCACUAUAAGCACAUCUAAUGAUAUGCUAAUGCUGUACUGUUCAAGGACAGUUCCCUGGUGUUCCCAGGUGCAUGUCAUUAGAUGUGCUUCUUUUUUCCAGUUCCUUUUAAAGCAGGUGUCCGGAUACGGCCUGAGCAUUGAGUGACACCUGAUGGGCGGCCGUCCAAUAGCGUGACCAGGCCCCUUUAAAAAAUUGCACCAGCGUGGGAGGGAAGAAAGACAGGCCACGAGAACAUUAGAGCCACGCCGACUCCCAUCAGCCACAGCCACCCUCCUGCAAAAAAAAGUAAGAAAAAUUAGCUGUGUGUAUGUGUAUGUAUGUCUAUCAGUAUGUUUCUAUCUGUGUGUAUGUCUGUCUGUAUUUCAGUAUGUAUGUAAGUAUGUGUUUGUAUGUAUGUCUGUCUGUGUGUAUGUAUUUCAGUAUGUAAAUGUGUAUGUGACUGUAGGUCUGUAUGUGUAUGUAUGUCUGUGUGUAUGUAUGUGUAUGUAUGUCAGUGUGUUUGUAUGUCAGUGUCUAUGUAUGUAAGUAUGUCUGUAUAUGUCAAUUUGUAUGUAUGUCUGUGUGUAUGUAUUUCAGUAUGUAUGUAUGUAUGUGUAUGUGUCUAUCUGUAUGUAUGUCUGUGUGUGUAUGUAUGUCAAUAUGUUUUGUAUGUUUUUUUAUGUAUGUCAGUAUGUCUGUGUGUGUGUCUGUAUGUAUGUGUUUUUGUAUGUAUGUCAGUAUCUGUAUGUCUGUAUGUAUAUAUGUCAGUAUGUGUGUGUGUGUCUGUAUGUAUGUGUAUGUAUUUCAGUAUGUAUGUAUGUAUGUCAAUAUGUGUUUGUAUGUCUGUCUGUAUGUAUUUCAGUCUGUGUGUAUGUAUUUAAUUCUGUGUGUAUGUAUUUCAGUAUGUAUGUCUGUAUGUCAGUAUGUGUUUGUGUGUAUGUAUUUCAGUAUGUAUAUGUAUUUCAGUAUGUAUGUAUGUCUGUGUGUGUUUAUAUAUGUCAGUAUGUGCUUGUAUGUCUGUGUGUAUGUAUAUGUAUUAUGUCAGUAUGUGUUUGUAUGUGUUUGUCUGUGUGUAUGUAUUUCUGUGUAUGUCAGAAUGUAUGUCCUGUGUGUGUAUGUAUGUCAAUAUGUGUCUGUCUGUGUGUAUGUGUCUAUCUGUAUGUCUGUAUGUAUGUCUGUGUGCAUGUAUUUCAGUAUGUAUAUAUGCCUGUGUGUGUGUGUAUGUCAGUAUGUGUUUGUACAUAUGUAUGUGUUUGUAUGUAUAUUUCAGUAUGUAUUUAUGUGUGUAUGUAUGUGUCUGUAUUUGUAUGUAUUUCUGUAUGUAUUAUGUUAGUAUGUGUCUGUAUAUGUCUUUGUAUAUGUUUUAGUAUAGGAAUUCAUUCAAAUUUUUUUCAAACUAUAGUCUGGCCCCCAACAGUGUCUGAGUGAACUGGCCCCCUGUUUAAAAGGUUUGAGGACCCCUGUUUUAAAGGAUCACUAUAGUGUCAGGAAAACAAACUCAUUUUCCUCUUGCAUGCUGGAUGAUCCUCAGCCAGCAUUGCCACACUGGCCAUACCUUACUUUGGUUUCAGUGUCAUCCGUCAUGGUUGCCGAACCUGGCUUCCAGGCACUUGAGGGCCUACAAGCCUGGCUAUGUACCGCACUGGUGGACUCACUGCCUGAAGCCCUUGCUGCUAUGCACGGGGAUGCCACUCCUGUCCCUGCGGGACCCACACCCAGCACCUCUGGGGCUCGGGACCCCUACUCAGGCGGCACCCUCCGCUCUGUGGACAUGGGCUCUGCGUGCGAAAGACCUUGGACAGGUCAUGGUGCUGUCACUGGCAAGGCCCACUAAAGUGAAAUGAUCUGGAAUGUAAAGUGUAUUUCAAUUUAAAGGCCCAAGUGGCAAAUGUUGUGGGAAAAUGCCAGCCAAACUAGCUAGACUGGGCUCCGGUUCUGGUGGUCACCCAGAUGAAGACAUGCUCUGGGGCACCGGUCUUUGACAUCCUGAACGAGUACCGAACUGGCAGCUCGGGUAACGCAUCACCCGGUGAGGGUGUCCUUGAACGACCCUCACGCUAUGUGAAAGAGACUUUCCUGGGCUCUCCUCAGACUGGUCCCCUCUGAUCACCCACUCUUUAUCCAGGUCUUCCUAUACAUCCUGCAGAAUGGGCUCCCCCAGACCACAUCGCAGAAUUUCCUCAUUAUUACUUUGCCGCUCUUUGGACAAGGAGGUCCGGGCAAAACUCCUGAAUGAAUGCCCCCGUCCGACACUGCAGGAUAAGGUGGCCCUUACCCCUGAUUUUGACCUGGUGUUCACCACCUUCAUGACGAGAUCUGGGAAGGAUCCUCACAAAGGCCUGGAUCAGGGCCUACGCUCAGCCCAGGAUACACUGCUCGAUUUCAGUGGGCCAUUGGCACAAAUUUUCCUUACGGCGGAUGAUGCCCUACACGGCUGAGCUCUGGUUGCCGUCCAUCUCCUUCAGGAGUGGGCUCAAAGGGCUAGUUGUCUCCUGGGCAAUGCCAAUGUGGUCCUCCACUCAGAUCGAUCGUUUGUCUGGACAAUAUUUCAUUGAUGGCGUCGCCAGACAUCGUUCACAACCCUUCUUCUCGAGGACCUGGGGUUCAUCAUAAAUGUGGAGAAAUCAGAACUGCCUCCCUCUGGAUCAGUCCAGUUUCUGGGUUUUGUGGUGGAUUUGGUUCAGGCGGUGCUCUGCCUUCCCGAAGUAUCUGCUAUCACUAAGAAUAUCAGACGCCUGCUACGCAACCCACAGGCCACGUUGAGAGAUCUGGCGCAGACGAUAGGACUGCUGUCAUCCUCCAUUCAGGUCAUAUUCCUGGGACCCCUACAAUAUCGGGCUCUCCAAUGCCUGAAGGUGCACCCAGGUCAUCGGUCUCAUACGACCGAAUCGUGUGUCUUUUGGAGUCCAGUCUGGAACUCCAUUGGUGGCUUGGACACAAGGAGGCCUGGAACGGCAAGGCGAUAUUCGGAUCCUGGCCAGACUUCGUCCUGGAAUCAAAUGCCACUUGUCUAGGCUGGGGUGCUGCUUGCGAUGGCAUGGCGACAAUAGCACAUUGGACUCCGGAGGAGAAGACCCUUCACAUCAGCUGUCUGGAACUGAUUGAGGGGUCGUUCACCAUUCGAAGAUUCACCGAAGGGAUGAGUCAUGGCUCGCUGCUUCUAGGCAGCUGUCUGUUACAUAAACCGGUUGGUAGGUUCCGUUCCAAACUUCUUUCGGAUCUAACAAAGGAUCUCUACCAGUAUUGUCUGGACAAGAACUUAUCGCUUGUAGCGGAAUACAAUCUAGUUGCGGGCUGGUUUUUCUCGACACUGGAGAAACGCCAGCGAUUGGCAACUACAUCCUCCGGUGUUUCAGAUGCUGGACUUCCUUCGAGGUUCCCUCCACCUGGAUCUGUUCGCAUCCAGGGCGAAUUGCCAGACAGAUUUAUUCUUUAGUUGGCUCCCGGAUCCCCUCAGCGAAGCAGUGGACGCAUUCCUCCAGGAAUGGCCUCCCUCGGGAGUGUAUGCGUUUCCACACCUUCUCCAUGAUUAUCCGGACGUUAAAUUGGAGCAAGCUUCUGAGGAUGUCGCCUCUCCUAAUCGUGUUGCUUUGGAGGAGUCGUGGUGGAGUUGUCGUGCAAAGACCCACUACUUCUGCCUGUCUCCAAGUUUCUCCUUCGGGAUCCAGCAGGGAAUCCACAUCUGAUGGUAUUAGAGGGCUGUCUGUCGCUGGUGGCCUGGACCGUUUCCAGGGUUCCCGGGAUGUGUCAGGCCUAUCGACAGUGGCUAGAUAGUUACCAGACGAGCGUAUCUACACGAUUCUGGCGAUUCUAGCAUGUCUGGUGAGACGUUUGGAUCCCUUUAUGGCCCCUAUCAUGGCCGUCCUGAACUUCUUGGCUGAAUUGUUUUCUCAGGGUAAGUCGUAUAGGACUAUUACGUCUUCCGAUCGGCUAUCUCGGUGGCUCAUGUGCCUUCUCAAGGUUUUGGUGUUGGUAAGGACACCUCGGUCUGCAGACUGCUCGAGACCCCCUGCUUCUUGCUAUUCCUCAUUUUGGGAUGUCUCGCUGGUAUUGCGCUUUCUUGAGGAAUGGCCUGAUAACGAGGAAUUGACUCUGUGCCAGUUUUCCACUAAGCUGGCUCUACUGUUAUGUCUUGUGUCUUUUCGUCACGUUUCUGAUGUUCGUUCUUUUGAUAUAGAAUAUUUCUCCUUUUCACCGGAUGGUGUGUCUGUUUCUAUUUCAGGAAGAACAAAAUCUAAUUAGUCUUCUGUGUCGUAUCCCUACUUUCCAGAUAGACCACCACUCUGUGUAGCACGUUAUCUACGGACGUGUAGCCAGUUGUGCAUUUAGGUUUUGUGCUGACCCCUGCUCGGGCCUCCUUCUCCCCCCCCAGGGUGAGGGGGGUGACAGGGUGUUGACAGGGUGUGACAGUGUGAGGUGGCAGGGUGAGAGGGGUGACAGGGUGUUGACAGGGGGUGACAGGUGGGGUGACAGUGUGAGGUGGCAGGUGAGGUGGGGCGACAGGAUGAGGGGGGUGAUAGGGUGAGGGAGUGACAGGGUGUUGACAGAUGGGGUGACAGUGUGAGGUGGCAGGGUGAGGGGGGGUGACAGGCGGCUGACAGGGGUGACAGGUGGGGGUGGCAGGUGAGGGGGGGUGACAGGGUGCUGAUUAGGGGUGACAGAUGGGGGUGACAGUGUGGAGGUGGUAGGGUGGAGGGGGGGGGUGACAGGGUGCUGACAGGGGUGGCAGGGUGAGGUGGCAGGGUGAGGUGGCAGGGUGAGGGGGGUGACAUGGUGAGGUGGCAGGGUGAGGGGGGUGACAGGGUGAGGUGGCAGGGUGAGGGGGGUGGCAGGGUGAGGGGGGUGACAGGGUGAGGUGGCAGGGUGAGGGGGGUGACAGGGUGAGGUGGCAGGGUGAGGGGGGGUGACAGGGUGAGGGGGGGUGACAGGGUGAGAGGGGGUGACAGGUGCUGACAGGGGUGACAAUGUGAGGUGGCAGGGGUGAGUGGGGGGGUGACAGGGUGCUGACAGGUGGGGUGACAGUGGAGGUGGCAGGUGAGGGGGGGGGCUUACAGGGAUGAGGGGGGGUGAUAGGGUGCUGACAGAUGAGGAUAGGUGUGAGGGGGUGGACAGGUGAGGGGGGGUGACAGAUAAGGGACAGUGUGAGGUGCCAGGGUGAGGUGGGUGACAAGGUGUUGACAGGUGGGGGCAUUAUGGAGGGUGGCAGGGGUGGAGGGGGGUGACAGGGUGGAGAGGGGGUGACAGUGUGAGGUGGCAGGAUGAGAGGGGGUGAUAGGUGGGGUGGCAGUGUGAGGUGGCAGGGUGAGGGGGUGACAGGGUGUUUACAGGGGGUGACAGAUGGGGUGACAGUGUGAGGGGGGUGACAGGGUGUUGACAGGGGGUGACAGUGUGAGGUGGCAGGGUGAGGGGGGGUCAAAAUUUACCUUUUUCCCUGGUGGUCCAAUGGGGUCAGUCUGUCCCUGGUGGUCCAGUGGGCUUUCCGGUCUGCAGCUCCGCCGGAUGCAGAGCUGCAGAUCACAUGGGGAAUGAUCUCAUUUCAGAGCGUUGCCGUGGUAACCCGCGGCAACACUCUGAUUGGCUGGAGAGCGUGAGACACCUCAGUCUGCAGCUCACACCCGGUGGAGCUGCAGACUGAGGCCGGCUCUCUCCCCGGGCGGACUGACAGGAGGGGCCUCGCAUCCAGCGGCACAAAGGGCAAGCCGCCGGGCCCCCUCCUGUGUCGGGUCCUCGGUCAUAGACCGACAACCCGACAUGUCAGUCUGCCCUCAGGUGAUUUAGGCGGCCGCGAGGCCCCUGACUGCGCGAGGCCUUAGGCGGCCGCCUAAAUCACCUAAUUAGAGAGCCGCCUCUGGGUUUUGGUUGUCGGUGUGAGUUUAUUCAUCAUGUCUUAUUCCGUUGAAGUACUGGUGUGUAUGGUAUGACAUUCUGCCUUGGCAGUUUACUUUCACAAUGUUUCUUCUUCCUUACAGUGUAAUCUGGAUUUCUUCUGGUUCUGGCAGUUUCUCAUCUGAUUGUGCCUGCUAAAAUUUGAUUUGAUUGGUUUUCAUGCUCUCCUGCUCGACCUCAUCAAGGAAAGCAGAAGUGGGGAGGGUUUAUACUGCUGUUAUUUUGUUCUGAUUGGUUGUUCUGAAAAGUUACGUCAACUGUUUCUUUGCUGCAUGAGGUUUCUAUUAAUGAAGGUAAAGCAAAUAUUCGUAUAUGUGUGUGUCUGUCAUGUUUUGCCAUAUUUUAUGGAUGACAUGUUGGUGCCAUAUGCUAUUGUCGUCACAUAUGUGCUGCAAUUUGUAUGUGUGUUGUGUGCACUUUAAAAUAAAAGACUUAUUUAGGUACUGUGAUGGUUGACAGCCAGGGUGCCUGUUCUACUUUAGCUUUAAUAAUACAUUUAGAUCAUGGGCGUAGGAACCAAGGGGGAUAGGGGGGGACGCAUCCCCCCCAGCAAAUCAUGCGGGGGGGAC
This 7840-nucleotide long non-coding RNA is filed under the name Pelobates cultripes (western spadefoot toad). Lineage: Eukaryota; Metazoa; Chordata; Amphibia; Anura; Pelobatidae. The record is from RNAcentral.